This 1382-nucleotide ribosomal RNA is filed under the name uncultured bacterium. RNAcentral describes it as "bacterial SSU rRNA". It matches the Rfam family "Bacterial small subunit ribosomal RNA", at positions 18 to 1394 of the family's 1533-position model. The record is from RNAcentral.
CCUGGCUCCCGUUGAACGCUAGCUACAGGCUUAACACAUGCAAGUCGAGGCGCAGCAUGGUCUUAGCUUGCUAAGGCCGAUGGCGACCGGCGCACGGGUGAGUAACACGUAUCCAACCUGCCGUCUACUCUUGGACAGCCUUCUGAAAGGAAGAUUAAUACAAGAUGGCAUCAUGAGUCCGCAUGUUCACAUGAUUAAAGGUAUUCCGGUAGACGAUGGGGAUGCGUUCCAUUAGAUAGUAGGCGGGGUAACGGCCCACCUAGUCUUCGAUGGAUAGGGGUUCUGAGAGGAAGGUCCCCCACAUUGGAACUGAGACACGGUCCAAACUCCUACGGGAGGCAGCAGUGAGGAAUAUUGGUCAAUGGGCGAGAGCCUGAACCAGCCAAGUAGCGUGAAGGAUGACUGCCCUAUGGGUUGUAAACUUCUUUUAUAAAGGAAUAAAGUCGGGUAUGGAUACCCGUUUGCAUGUACUUUAUGAAUAAGGAUCGGCUAACUCCGUGCCAGCAGCCGCGGUAAUACGGAGGAUCCGAGCGUUAUCCGGAUUUAAUGGGUUUAAAGGGAGCGUAGAUGGAUGUUUAAGUCAGUUGUGAAAGUUUGCGGCUCAACCGUAAAAAUUGCAGUUGAUACUGGAUAUCUUGAGUGCAGUUGAGGCAGGCGGAAUUCGUGGUGUAGCGGUGAAAUGCUUAGAUAUCACGAAGAACUCCGAUNGCGAAGGCAGCCUGCUAAGCUGCAACUGACAUUGAGGCUCGAAAGUGUGGGUAUCAAACAGGAUUAGAUACCCUGGUAGUCCACACGGUAAACGAUGAAUACUCGCUGUUUGCGAUAUACUGCAAGCGGCCAAGCGAAAGCGUUAAGUAUUCCACCUGGGGAGUACGCCGGCAACGGUGAAACUCAAAGGAAUUGACGGGGGCCCGCACAAGCGGAGGAACAUGUGGUUUAAUUCGAUGAUACGCGAGGAACCUUACCCGGGCUUAAAUUGCAGAUGAAUUACGGUGAAAGCCGUAAGCCGCAAGGCAUCUGUGAAGGUGCUGCAUGGUUGUCGUCAGCUCGUGCCGUGAGGUGUCGGCUUAAGUGCCAUAACGAGCGCAACCCUUGUUGUCAGUUACUAACAGGUUCCGCUGAGGACUCUGACAAGACUGCCAUCGUAAGAUGUGAGGAAGGUGGGGAUGACGUCAAAUCAGCACGGCCCUUACGUCCGGGGCUACACACGUGUUACAAUGGGGGGUACAGAGGGCCGCUACCACGCGAGUGGAUGCCAAUCCCCAAAACCUCUCUCAGUUCGGACUGGAGUCUGCAACCCGACUCCACGAAGCUGGAUUCGCUAGUAAUCGCGCAUCAGCCACGGCGCGGUGAAUACGUUCCCGGGCCUUGUACACACCGCC